Etheostoma cragini (Arkansas darter) is the source of this 162-nucleotide long non-coding RNA. RefSeq lists it as uncharacterized. The transcript is spliced from 3 exons. The record is from RefSeq and is a predicted model, not a curated record. Lineage: Eukaryota; Metazoa; Chordata; Actinopteri; Perciformes; Percidae.
UUCCGACCGGAGGGAUUUUUGCAUUGCCUAGAACACAACGUUCCUAAAAACCUUUUCUUCUCCCGUUCUGAUGGACCAAUUUGGGGACUAUUAAGUUCCUCUGGCCACAGUCCCUGUAACUCUUUCAGCUCCUGCUUCAGGCCAGGCUCUGAAACACAAGCA